AGCGCGCCCACUUCCCCGGCCCACCGGGUUCCUCAGGCUGUUUACACUAGCGCUCUACCAACGAUGCCCAGGUUAUUCACUUUUGGAGGAUGCUGCAAUAUGAACUCAUUAAAGUUCUGGAGGCUGGAAGAUCAAGGAGCUGGUGGGUUCAGUGUCUGACACCAGGUCUCACUGUGUUGCCCAGACUGGCAGGCUGGCACGAUCAUGGCUCACUGCGCACUGACGUCCUGGCCUCAUGGAAUCCUCUCACCUCAGCCUUGUGCUUUCCUUUAUAUGUAAGGAUGACACCACACAGCAUGCUUAAUUAUCUACUUAUUGCUGUUGGCUUUUAUUUGGGGUUUAGGGAGUAGAUCAAUCAAUCACAUUCUGUAGAUUAAGUUUUGGUUUUCUGUUGUUGGGUAUUUGUUCUUUGGGGUCUUUGUGUUUGUUUAUUUCCACAAAGAGGCCUGUCAGUAGGGAUUGGAGUCAUUUCACCAACUGAUAUAACCAAUUCUGAUGGAAUUUUUUUAAUAGGAUUGAACUUAAAUAUUCUGAUUCAUUGCAUUAUAACUACUGACUUACAAGGUUACAAUUUUUAUUCAUGAGGAAUUGAAUGGAUAAACUAUUGCUCUGCUCUAGAUACUUGCCAGUGAAGUAUUAAAUCUUUUCAUUAAAAAAAAAUAAAGAUAAACAAAGCAUGACUACAUUUCUCAUUUUACUGAAAUUACUGAAUGGAAAAACCAGUAUAAAUGUGCCCUAUUAAAAGAACACCUAAAAAAUGAAAAUCCAGCUAUUUCUUUUCAAAAGAAUUAAUCACAGCUUCUCUAUACAUCAUAAACUCUACUGUGUCAUCUUAAAUAUGAUUGAAUUUAUAUAAAACUCGAAGAAUAUAUUUAUCAGAAAAAGAGCUAUAAUUGUAUUAAUUGGCAGGUUGUGAUGAUGUUUUAACAUGAAAUAUCAAAAUCCAUUGAUUCAUGGACUGGCUUCAGUGGAGAAAGACCUUUACCAAUAGGCCAGGCUAGAGAUCCUAGGAGCCUCUCAAAUGUUUUCUAUGUCCUGAAUGAUACUCAGUGCUUAAAGGAUAAAUAAAUAAAUAAGUAAAUAAAUAGUUUCUUAUGAUGUGCACAUUCAUUCCUCCCUUUUCCUGGAGGAGUAAUUUCAGGGUUGUGUACAUUCUCCCAACCUCGCAGAGUCAUCAGACUGCCAUGAACCACCCAUCCCAUUUCCUUAGGGCAGUGCACUAAAAAAAAAAAAAAAAACAGGACUGUAAAACUCCUAGAAAAAAACAUAGAAAUACAGAGUGUUGGCAAUUAUUUCUUGAAUAUGACACCAAAUGCACAGACAAAAAAGCCAAAAGCAAAACUAGACAAGUAGGACUACAUCAAACUAAAAAGAUUCUACAUAGCAAAGGAAACAAUAGAGAGAAAGGACAACUUACUAAAUGGGAAAAAAUAUUUGCAAACUAUACAUUUGAUAAAAGGUUAAUACCAAAAAUAUAUAAGUAGCAAAAAAAAACUAAAUAAUCAUAUUAAAAAAUAGGCAAGGGACUUGAAUAGACAUUUCUCAAAAGAAGACAUAUAAAUGGCCAGCAGAUAUUUGAAAACAUGCUCAACAUCAC
Molecule: long non-coding RNA, 1597 nt
Filed under: Homo sapiens (human)
Lineage: Eukaryota; Metazoa; Chordata; Mammalia; Primates; Hominidae
Description: HSALNT0108486
Source: RNAcentral